UGAGAUUUUAUGUGACUGCCUAUUUCGAUACCAAAGAGUGUGGUACAACGAAAUCCUAAACUCCAACUGGCUUUCGGUAUCUAUUGCCUCUUGUUUGAUGGUGUUUGGAUGGGAAAAAAUGACCUAAUUGUGGCUGGAAAACCUAAAAAUAGAGAACACGUGCGACAUUAAGAUCAACUGCAAGACAUAAAUAGGAAACAAAAUUGAUACAAUAUGUUGUAUUGCGAAUGAGUGAAGCACUGCUGGAAGGUUUUUGCAGAAAAAAAUUGGUGUAGUAAUUGAGGGGCUUCCUGUAUCAGCAAUAACAUGCUACAAGGUGGGAACUGUUCUGUUGGUGGCCUGUGGAAAAGACGUAGUAUGGUGGGUGGUCUGUGGACAAGCCUAAUGGUUCUUGACCCAUAGAAAAUUUCCUGUACAUGUUCUAUGGACAAGCUCUGGUGUGUGACCUGUGAACAACCCAUAGAUGUGGCCUGUGAUCAAACCUUUACAAUUUACUUGUGAACAGGCCUGGGUAUUUCUUAAGCCAGGCAAGUGGGCUUGGGGACAAGGCUUCAGAAAUAGCCUGUGGACAAGCCUUGCUACAUGUCUAUGGCCUUUAUAAGAGCCUUGGUACACAUGUGGCCUUUAGACAAGCCCAGUGGUAUUUGGACUCACAGUGGGCAACUCUGGCAUAGACUCUGGCACAUGGCCUCUGGACAAGCAUUGGUUUAUUUUCUGUAUCUGUGCACAAGCCCUAGUUUAUGGCCUAUUGACAGGCCUUGGUACAUGGUAUUUGGACUAGCCCUGAUAGUUGGCCUGUGGACAGGGUGUGGAAGGUGGUCAUUGGAUAAGCCUUGGUAGGUGGUCUGUGGACAAGCCCUGGUUUGUGACUUGUGGACAAGCCUCCAUAUGUGGCCUGUGGACAAGGAGUGGUAGGGGGCCUGUGGACAAGCUUUGGUAGAUGACUUGUGGAAAACUUGGGUACGUACCUUUGGACAAGUGUUGGCUCAUCACCUGAUACAUGGUCUGUGGACAAGCCUUUGUUAUGACCAAACUGCAACAGAUCUAUCAUCCAAAAGCAUCAGAUGUUGACAGCGCAAGCCUUCUAUUGGAGUUGAAGAGUACCGAGAUCAGCAAUACAAGCUCAUCUUGGUAG
Stylophora pistillata is the source of this 1135-nucleotide long non-coding RNA. RefSeq lists it as uncharacterized. NCBI's taxonomy places the organism in Eukaryota, Metazoa, Cnidaria, Anthozoa, Scleractinia, Pocilloporidae. The record is from RefSeq and is a predicted model, not a curated record.